UCUUUCAUUUCUCUGUUUUUUCAAUCAUGUUUCUCUUUUUUCAGUACAAGAGAGAGAGAAAUGUUAUACAAACACAAAAAAAUUAAUCAGUCUUGGAUGUUCAUUCUGAUGGAUCUCUCUUCUUAAGUUUUGUUAAUCCAUGCCCUAAAGCUUCAUUUGCUAGCUCUAUUAAUGGAGAAACUCAAUUUUCCAUUGUUUAUUUUCUCCAUCUUCUUAUCUUUCUCCUAUGGUUUCUUACACAAAAUAAAGUUUCUUGCUCCCAACAAUCCAAUUGCUUUUCAUUAACUCAGAGUUUCACAUACAAAAAAACCCAAAAAUAAAGAACUAAACUUUAUCGCACAAAAUCGAUCUGAUUGAUCUCAUAACUUCAGGUCCAUCCAACCAUUGGGCAAUAGAAAAGUAAAUUGUUAAAGUCAGAUCCAAGAAUCGGAAGCCGACCUUCACGAUUCUUCUUCGCAUCGUGAUCCGCCGAACAUCACUAGCACACGAACCGUGUUCUCCACCGCAACAGAACAUAUUCCGACAUGCAAAAAGAACUAGGCAAUGCUUAAUACUAUUCUCUCCUGACCUUAACACCAACUUUCAUGUCCACACCGCCCAUAACAGCAGCCUCAACAUCAAUACCUCACUUUUUCUGAUAGCCACAUCCACAUGUCCCAUGUCCACAAUAACACCAUACACUCCUUGCAAUCCCAGACAACUACAUCCACAAACCCAUGUCCACAACAACACCAUCCACUCCUCGCAAAUCCCAAACAACCACAUCCACAAACCCCUGUCCACUGAAGAAACAGACACGAUAGUGGUGUUGGCCGCAUAAGAAACAACGAUGGUGAUGGCUCUCGGAAACCGGCGAUGAUGGUGGACGGGAGUGGCCGUUGAAGAAAUGGAAAUAGUGGUGGAAUGUUAGUAAGGACUUUGAUAGUUUACAAAGAAAAACAAAUCUACAAAAAAAUAAAACAGAUCUAAAUAAAGCAAUAGUAAGAAUAGAAAUGAAGAAAGAGAUGAGAAAAAGGGAAGAGGAAGAGAUCAGAGAAGUUAAAGUUAAAAGAGAAAGAUUGUAGAAGAAAAAGAAAGAAAAUGAAGGAAAAAUAAGAAGAAAUGUAAUAACUUUUUGUUAGAGAAAAAAAGAAGAAAAACUCUAUUUCUCAUGAACUCGCGUGAGGACACUUUGGUAUAAAACACACAUGGGUUUUAACAAUUGUGUGCACCAAGUGAGAUGUGUUCUUUUGUGUAGUAAAAAAAAAAAGAAAAUUGUUGUCGUGUGUAACUCACUCUUCUAUUGAUCCAGGGAAAAAUAUCUAGC
This 1306-nucleotide long non-coding RNA is filed under the name Brassica napus (rape). RNAcentral's name for it is "long non-coding RNA (BNAP_LNC016316)". Lineage: Eukaryota; Viridiplantae; Streptophyta; Magnoliopsida; Brassicales; Brassicaceae. The record is from RNAcentral.